UGACCGCUGGCGGCGUGCCUACUACAUGCACGUCGAGCGAACGGACGCGAAGCUUGCUUCUCUGAUGUUAGCGGCGGACGGGUGAGUAACACGUGGAUAACCUACCUAUAAGACUGGGAUAACUUCGGGAAACCGGAGCUAAUACCGGAUAAUAUUUUGAACCGCAUGGUUCAAAAAUGAAAGACGGUCUUGCUGUCACUUAUAGAUGGAUCCGAGCUGCAUUAGCUAGUUGGUAAGGUAACGGCUUACCAAGGCAACGAUGCAUAGCCGACCUGAGAGGGUGAUCGGCCACACUGGAACUGAGACACGGUCCAGACUCCUACGGGAGGCAGCAGUAGGGAAUCUUCCGCAAUGGGCGAAAGCCUGACGGAGCAACGCCGCGUGAGUGAUAAAGGUCUUCGGAUCGUAAAACUCUGUUAUUAGGGAAGAACAUAUGUGUAAGUAACUGUGCACAUCUUGACGGUACCUAAUCAGAAAGCCACGGCUAACUACGUG
RNAcentral lists this ribosomal RNA (495 nucleotides) under uncultured bacterium. RNAcentral's name for it is "partial 16S ribosomal RNA". It matches the Rfam family "Bacterial small subunit ribosomal RNA", at positions 30 to 507 of the family's 1533-position model. The record is from RNAcentral.